RNAcentral lists this ribosomal RNA (253 nucleotides) under uncultured bacterium. RNAcentral's name for it is "partial 16S ribosomal RNA". It matches the Rfam family "Bacterial small subunit ribosomal RNA", at positions 524 to 776 of the family's 1533-position model. The record is from RNAcentral.
GACGGGGGAUGCAAGCGUUAUCCGGAAUCACUGGGCGUAAAGCGUCUUUAGGUGGUGAUGCAAGUCACUGGUGCAAAACUCUGGCUCAACCGGAGGAAAGCCAGUGAAACUGCAUGACUAGAGUGUGGGAGAGGUAGGAGGAAUUCCCUGAGUAGCGGUGAAAUGCGUAGAUACAGGGAAGAACACCGGAGGCGAAAGCGUUCUACUGGAACACAACUGACACUGAGCGACGAAAGCUAGGGGAGCGAAUGGG